This 275-nucleotide signal recognition particle RNA is filed under the name archaeon. Its description in RNAcentral is "signal recognition particle sRNA". It matches the Rfam family "Archaeal signal recognition particle RNA". The record is from RNAcentral.
GCAGGAGGCAACGGUUGCAGGGGCAGGCUCCCUGUAUGACUGCAAGCAGCCUUCAUGGCAGAACCGCAGCCCGAAGACGGUAUUGUGGUGUGAAUCGACUCCAAGUCUCGACUGAGAAGCCGUGCCUUGAUGGGUCGUGUGUUUAUCGAACCGAGUGAGGCGGGGAACCGAGCAACUCUAAGGUAAGUAUGCGAUGCUCUCAAGAAACAUGGUGGAGAAGAGGCUCUGGGCAAAGCCGGUUCGCAUUGCAAUAUCAACUGACGGCGUCCUCCUGC